RNAcentral lists this ribosomal RNA (539 nucleotides) under uncultured Geobacter sp. Its description in RNAcentral is "bacterial SSU rRNA". It matches the Rfam family "Bacterial small subunit ribosomal RNA", at positions 8 to 524 of the family's 1533-position model. Lineage: Bacteria; Pseudomonadati; Thermodesulfobacteriota; Desulfuromonadia; Geobacterales; Geobacteraceae. The record is from RNAcentral.
AGAGUUUGAUCCUGGCUCAGAACGAACGCUGGCGGCGUGCCUAACACAUGCAAGUCGAACGGAGUGAAGGAGCUUGCUCUUUCAUUUAGUGGCGCACGGGUGAGUAACGCGUAGAUAAUCUGCCUUGGACUCUGGGAUAACAUCUCGAAAGGGGUGCUAAUACCGGAUAAGCCCACGAUGGCGUAAGUCAUUGCGGGAAAAGGGGGCCUCUGAAUAUGCUCCUGAUUCAAGAUGAGUCUGCGUACCAUUAGCUAGUUGGUAGGGUAAGAGCCUACCAAGGCGACGAUGGUUAGCUGGUCUGAGAGGAUGAUCAGCCACACUGGAACUGAGACACGGUCCAGACUCCUACGGGAGGCAGCAGUGGGGAAUUUUGCGCAAUGGGGGAAACCCUGACGCAGCAACGCCGCGUGAGUGAUGAAGGCUUUCGGGUCGUAAAGCUCUGUCUAGAGGGAAGAAAUGAUAGUCGGUUAAUACCCGGUUUUCUUGACGGUACCUCUGAAGGAAGCACCGGCUAACUCCGUGCCAGCAGCCGCGGUAUA